Molecule: long non-coding RNA, 1471 nt
Organism: Acanthochromis polyacanthus (spiny chromis)
Lineage: Eukaryota; Metazoa; Chordata; Actinopteri; Pomacentridae
Exons: 4
Source: RefSeq, a predicted model, not a curated record
AUGAAAUGGGAAAAUGAGCAACUGUAGUUACAGUGUUCAGGGUACAUCUGAUGAUACAUUGUCAACAUUGCAUGCACACUACCAGACUAAAGUUUGGACACACCUUCUCAUUCAAUGGUUUUUAGUUUAUUUGUAUUGUUUCUAGAUUGUAGAUUAAUACUGAAUAUUAACACUUCUUUUAUUUACAACAUAAUUUCAUAUGUAUAUAUGCACUGAAUGAGAAGGUGUGUCCAAACAUUUGACUGGUGGUGUAGAUCAAGCUCAUCCAAGAUGAUAUGACAGCCACAUCACUGUAAGGGGCAAAGCCUUUUCUUCUCUUGAUCAAAGAAGUUCAUCUUGCAGGCACAGAGAAAAUCUGUUGGCCUGGAGAAGUCUGCUACUUUCAGAAAUGCUGCGUCACUGACGUCAUCACGUUAGAGUUACUCGUCCAAUCACACGCGUUGUCUCGCAAGAGCCGCGCAACACACAAAUGGACAAAGAAGUCGUCUUUCUUACGCGAGUUUCUACAAUGGCGGCUCGGUAUCGGCAGUCCGACUCACUACAGGCUCCUCGCAUGGAACAGCCUGGACAUGACCGACUGGUUCCAGUCAUACCAGCGACAGACACUGAGAAGAAAUUGUUGUGCGUUAUCAGCAGGCUGUCUGCCAGAGAGCACCGCUGGAGGAGAAGGAGCAGAAGCUGGAGCGGUGUCUGAGCUGCACGAGAGGAUGUCCGCCAUGGAAGCUCAAAUAAACACUUUCUCCAGUGGCGAGGAAAUUUAGUGGAAAAGAGGAGAGCAUGGUCCUAAAAUUGUGACUGGGCUCGCCUCACAAUGAGGCAGUCAGGACAUAUUUAGUUAAAACUUUGGCUGCAAGUCCAGAUGUGGAGGCAGAUGCCUUUCUAUCUGCUUGUAAAAAGCAUUUUGAAACUCAACGGUGAAACUACUGGCGAAUCAGGCGGAGGCCAUGAAGUCUUCUGCCCGGAGUCGCCAGAGAAGAAAGAGUCUGCUGGAUGCCAGGAAGAUGGUCCUUGCUCCAGAUAAAGAGGACUUAUGGAAGGGCAUCACAGCUGACAUGUCAGAUGAGGAGGAUGGCAGCGUUGACGGGGUGUGUGGAUGGAUAGUACGCCAUCCUUCCGCAGCCAGGACUUAUCCAACCUGUGUGCUGCCCUACAAGCAAGGCUUGAGGCUGAUGUAAGGAACACAGCUGCACAUCACAGGCGAUUUCACAGUGGACAGCCGUCUGACAGACUGAAGCCACAUAAGUAUGACACAGCAGCAGCAAAGAGACAUUUUAAGAGAGACCUAAUGCCUGAGACCAGCUCGGAGGUGAACUGGUCCGUUUUUUAGGUUUAAAUUUGUUUUGAAAUGUGUCAUUUUUUGUAAAUUUUCUUUCCUUUUUUAAAAAAGAACAGUUUAUCUUGUUGUAAUUUUAAUUUUGGAUUUUUGGAACUCUUGCAAUCUAUACUGUUCAAUAAAGCUCUUGUUUUUCAA